This 69-nucleotide transfer RNA is filed under the name Ictidomys tridecemlineatus (thirteen-lined ground squirrel). Its description in RNAcentral is "Spermophilus tridecemlineatus (thirteen-lined ground squirrel) tRNA". It matches the Rfam family "tRNA". Rfam says of the family: Transfer RNA (tRNA) molecules are approximately 80 nucleotides in length. Their secondary structure includes four short double-helical elements and three loops (D, anti-codon, and T loops). Lineage: Eukaryota; Metazoa; Chordata; Mammalia; Rodentia; Sciuridae. The record is from Rfam by way of RNAcentral.
GGAGUUGUGGCUCAGUGGUAUAGCGUUUGCCUGGCAUGCAUGAGAUCCUGGGUUUGAUCCUCAGCACCG